Molecule: ribosomal RNA, 468 nt
Filed under: uncultured bacterium
Lineage: Bacteria
Description: partial 16S ribosomal RNA
Rfam family: Bacterial small subunit ribosomal RNA
Source: RNAcentral
GACGAACGCUGGCGGCGUGCUUAACACAUGCAAGUCGAACGGAAAGGCCCUGCUUUUGUGGGGUGCUCGAGUGGCGAACGGGUGAGUAACACGUGAGUAACCUGCCCUUUACUUUGGGAUAACUUCAGGAAACUGGGGCUAAUACCGGAUAUGAGCUCCUGCUGCAUGGUGGGGGUUGGAACGUUUCGGCGGUUGGGGAUGGACUCGCGGCUUAUCAGCUUGUUGGUGGGGUAGUGGCUUACCAAGGCUUUGACGGGUAGCCGGCCUGAGAGGGUGACCGGCAACAUUGGGAAGGAGAUACGGCCCAGAAUCCUAAGGGAGGCAGCAGUGGGGAAUAUUGCACAAUGGGCGGGAGCCUGAUGCAGCAACGCCGCGUGCGGGAUGACGGCCUUCGGGUUGUAAACCGCUUUCGCCUGUGACGAAGCGUGAGUGACGGUAAUGGGUAAAGAAGCACCGGCUAACUACGUG